AUUGAACGCUGGCGGCAUGCCUUACACAUGCAAGUCGAACGGCAGCGGACCUUCGGGUGCCGGCGAGUGGCGAACGGGUGAGUAAUAUAUCGGAACGUACCUUUCAGUGGGGGAUAACGUAGCGAAAGUUACGCUAAUACCGCAUAUUCUGUGAGCAGGAAAGCAGGGGAUCGCAAGACCUUGCGCUGAUUGAGCGGCCGAUAUCAGAUUAGCUAGUUGGUGAGGUAAAGGCUCACCAAGGCGACGAUCUGUAGCGGGUCUGAGAGGAUGAUCCGCCACACUGGAACUGAGACACGGUCCAGACUCCUACGGGAGGCAGCAGUGGGGAAUUUUGGACAAUGGGCGCAAGCCUGAUCCAGCCAUGCCGCGUGAGUGAAGAAGGCCUCGGUUGUAAGUACGUC
RNAcentral lists this ribosomal RNA (401 nucleotides) under uncultured bacterium. Its description in RNAcentral is "bacterial SSU rRNA". It matches the Rfam family "Bacterial small subunit ribosomal RNA", at positions 30 to 436 of the family's 1533-position model. The record is from RNAcentral.